RNAcentral lists this ribosomal RNA (699 nucleotides) under uncultured bacterium. Its description in RNAcentral is "bacterial SSU rRNA". It matches the Rfam family "Bacterial small subunit ribosomal RNA", at positions 1 to 678 of the family's 1533-position model. The record is from RNAcentral.
AAGAGUUUUGGAUCCUGGCUCAGAAUCAACGCUGGCGGCGUGCCUAACACAUGCAAGUCGAGCGAGAAAGGGAGCUUCGGUUCCCAAGUAAAGCGGCGGACGGGUGAGUAACACGUGGGUAAUCUGCCCUCGGGUGGGGAAUAACUCAGGGAAACCUGGGCUAAUUCCGCAUGAUAUUCCCGAUACUCAAGUAUUGGAAAUCAAAGCUGGGGACCCUUCGGGGCCUGGCGCCUGAGGAGGAGCCCGCGGCCAAUUAGCUUGUUGGUGGGGUAAUGGCCCACCAAGGCUUCGAUUGGUAGCCGGCCUGAGAGGGCGGACGGUCACACUGGGACUGAGACACGGCCCAGACUCCUACGGGAGGCAGCAGUGGGGAAUUUUUGUCAAUGGGGGAAACCCUGAACAAGCAACGCCGCGUGGAGGACGAAGACCCUCGGGUUGUAAACUCCUGUCGGAGGGGACGAAUGUGCCGGUGGUUAAUACCCAUCAGUAUUGACGGUACCCUACGAGGAAGCCCCGGCUAACUCCGUGCCAGCAGCCGCGGUAAUACGGGGGGGGCAAGCGUUGUUCGGAAUUACUGGGCGUAAAGGGCGCGUAGGCGGACCAGACAGUCUCUCGUGAAAUCCCACGGCUCAACCGUGGAACUGCGGGAGAUACUACUGGUCUUGAGUUCGGGAGAGGAGUGUGGAAUUCCCAGUGUAG